RNAcentral lists this ribosomal RNA (440 nucleotides) under uncultured bacterium. RNAcentral describes it as "partial 16S ribosomal RNA". It matches the Rfam family "Bacterial small subunit ribosomal RNA", at positions 338 to 794 of the family's 1533-position model. The record is from RNAcentral.
CCUACGGGAGGCAGCAGUAAGGAAUCUUGCGCAAUGGGCGAAAGCCUGACGCAGCGACGCCGCGUGGGCGAUGAAGGCCUUCGGGUUGUAAAGCCCUUUUCUGGGGGACGAGGAAGGACGGUACCCCAGGAAUAAGUCACGGCUAACUACGUGCCAGCAGCCGCGGUAAUACGUAGGUGGCAAGCGUUAUCCGGAUUUACUGGGCGUAAAGAGCGCGUAGGCGGUCGAUUAAGUUGGAUGUGAAAGCCCCCGGCUUAACUGGGGAGGGUCAUCUGAAACUGAUCGACUUGAAGGCAGGAGAGGGAAGUGGAAUUCCCGGUGUAGGGGUAAAAUGCGUAGAUAUCGGGAGGAACACCAGUGGCGAAGGCGGCUUCCUGGCCUGCUCUGGACGCUGAGGCGCGAAAGCUAGGGGAGCGAACCGAAUUAGACACCCGGGUAGU